RNAcentral lists this transfer RNA (74 nucleotides) under Nocardioides thalensis. RNAcentral's name for it is "tRNA-Leu". It matches the Rfam family "tRNA". From Rfam's summary of the family: Transfer RNA (tRNA) molecules are approximately 80 nucleotides in length. Their secondary structure includes four short double-helical elements and three loops (D, anti-codon, and T loops). The record is from RNAcentral. Lineage: Bacteria; Bacillati; Actinomycetota; Actinomycetes; Propionibacteriales; Nocardioidaceae.
GCCCCCGUAUCCCAAUCGGCAGAGGAAGGCGCCUUAAAAGCGCUGCAGUCUGGGUUCGAGUCCCAGCGGGGGCA